UACGUAGGGUGCAAGCGUUAAUCGGAAUUACUGGGCGUAAAGCGUGCGCAGGCGGUUUGCUAAGACAGGUGUGAAAUCCCCGGGCUUAACCUGGGAACUGCGCUUGUUACUGGCAGGCUUGAGUGCGGCAGAGGAGACUGGAAUUCCUGGUGUAGCAGUGAAAUGCGUAGAUAUCAGGAGGAACACCGAUGGCGAAGGCAGGUCUCUGGGCUGACACUGACGCUCAUGCACGAAAGCGUGGGGAGCAAACAGG
RNAcentral lists this ribosomal RNA (253 nucleotides) under uncultured bacterium. Its description in RNAcentral is "partial 16S ribosomal RNA". It matches the Rfam family "Bacterial small subunit ribosomal RNA", at positions 524 to 776 of the family's 1533-position model. The record is from RNAcentral.